UUCAAGACUGAAAAACUAUGUUCCAGUGUAACAGAGGUCAAUUUGUCCGCCGCUCACGGCCCUCGAACCCGCCACGUCAACACACCGGCAUGGG
This is a long non-coding RNA of Alosa sapidissima (American shad), 94 nucleotides long. RefSeq lists it as uncharacterized. The record is from RefSeq and is a predicted model, not a curated record. NCBI's taxonomy places the organism in Eukaryota, Metazoa, Chordata, Actinopteri, Clupeiformes, Clupeidae. The transcript has 3 exons.